This 334-nucleotide unclassified non-coding RNA is filed under the name soil metagenome. RNAcentral's name for it is "partial contains 5.8S ribosomal RNA, internal transcribed spacer 2, and large subunit ribosomal RNA". The stretch from base 1 to 120 matches the Rfam family "5.8S ribosomal RNA", at positions 35 to 154 of the family's 154-position model. The record is from RNAcentral.
GAUGAAGAACGCAGCGAAAUGCGAUAAGUAGUGUGAAUUGCAGAAUUCAGUGAAUCAUCGAAUCUUUGAACGCACAUUGCGCCCCUUGGUAUUCCAUGGGGCAUGCCUGUUCGAGCGUCAUUUGUACCUUCAAGCUUUGCUUGGUGUUGGGUGUUUGUCCAUUCCCUUGCAGAGGGACUCGCCUUAAAGUAAUUGGCAGCCAGUGUUUUGGUUUUGAAGCGCAGCACAAGUCGCGAUUCAACGCUAUACGCCAGCUUCCACAAGCCUUUUUCACUUUUGACCUCGGAUCAGGUAGGGAUACCCGCUGAACUUAAGCAUAUUAAUAAGCGGAGGA